AGAGUUUGAUCCUGGCUCAGGAUGAACGCUAGCGGGAGGCUUAACACAUGCAAGUCGAGGGGCAGCACGAGGUAGCAAUACUUUGGUGGCGACCGGCAGACGGGUGAGUAACGCGUAUGCAACCUACCCUGUACUGGGGGAUAACCCGGAGAAAUUCGGACUAAUACCCCAUAGUGAUAUAGAGAGGCAUCUUGAAAUAUUUAAAGUUUCGACGGUACGGGAUGGGCAUGCGUAACAUUAGCUAGUUGGUAAGGUAACGGCCUACCAAGGCUUUGAUGUUUAGGGGUCCUGAGAGGGUGGUCCCCCACACUGGUACUGAGACACGGACCAGACUCCUACGGGAGGCAGCAGUGAGGAAUAUUGGUCAAUGGGCGAAAGCCUGAACCAGCCAUCCCGCGUGCAGGAAGACGGCCCUAUGGGUUGUAAACUGCUUUUCCAGGGGGAGAAACUCUCGUACGUGAUACGGGAUUGACGGUACCUUGGGAAUAAGCAUCGGCUAACUCCGUGCCAGCAGCCGCGGUAAUACGGAGGAUGCAAGCGUUAUCCGGAUUCAUUGGGUUUAAAGGGUGCGUAGGCGGACUAUUAAGUCAGUGGUGAAAUCCUGCAGCUUAACUGCAGAACUGCCAUUGAUACUGAUAGUCUUGAGUUUGGUUAAGGUAGGCGGAAUGUGUAAUGUAGCGGUGAAAUGCUUAGAUAUUACACAGAACACCGAUUGCGUAGGCAGCUUACUGAGCCGACACUGACGCUGAGGCACGAAAGCGUGGGGAUCGAACAGGAUUAGAUACCCUGGUAGUC
Molecule: ribosomal RNA, 795 nt
Filed under: uncultured bacterium
Lineage: Bacteria
Description: bacterial SSU rRNA
Rfam family: Bacterial small subunit ribosomal RNA
Source: RNAcentral